Molecule: unclassified non-coding RNA, 366 nt
Filed under: uncultured Pezizomycotina
Lineage: Eukaryota; Fungi; Ascomycota
Description: sequence contains ITS1
Rfam family: 5.8S ribosomal RNA (bases 1-105)
Source: RNAcentral
GAAAUGCGAUAAGUAAUGUGAAUUGCAGAAUUCAGUGAAUCAUCGAAUCUUUGAACGCACCUUGCGCUCCUUGGUAUUCCGAGGAGCAUGCCUGUUUGAGUGUCAUGAAACCCUCAAACCCAAGCAUGGACCGAAAUCCAAAACUUGGGUUUGAGGGUUUCAUGACACUCAAGCUUUCUUGCUUGGUCUUGGAGGCAGAGCAGCCCAAUCGGCGCGCCUCUCCUCUGAAAUUCAAUGGCGGUCUGGUUCUGUUACCUUGCGUAGUAAGCUUUUGCCUCGUAAAGUGAACACGAAUCGGCUUGCCGGUGAAUCCCCACAUUUCUCCAGGUUGACCUCGGAUCAGGUAGGGAUACCCGCUGAACUUAA